AUUUAAUUUUAAUUUUGUAUUAAUCUUUUAGGUAUUGAUUAUAUUCUUUAGUUUGUGGAUCGAAUUGGCAAGGAGCAUUGCAAAGUUAAUUAACUUGAUUAUUAAUUGCAAGAGUAAAUGAAAAGGUAGUUGGGUGACAUUUAUAAUAAUGGAGAUGGAUAAAAGUUGGAUCCAUCUUAACAGAGCAACGGUGGAAUAUGAGCAAAAAGCUAGGGAGUUUGUUAAGACAACCAUGAUGAAUCUCGGAUUUCCAGCCAAG
Long non-coding RNA from Humulus lupulus (European hop), 259 nucleotides. RefSeq lists it as uncharacterized. Lineage: Eukaryota; Viridiplantae; Streptophyta; Magnoliopsida; Rosales; Cannabaceae. The record is from RefSeq and is a predicted model, not a curated record. The transcript is spliced from 3 exons.